CCGACAAAACAAAACGGUCUCACUGCUCCACAUUCUAACGACACUGGGAAUGAACGUUAUCCGUGCUUCUCUAUCAAAUACGCAUUGACGCAGAUGAAUAUGAUUUAAUCCGACGACCACUACAUGUUUUACUGUC
This 136-nucleotide unclassified non-coding RNA is filed under the name Human betaherpesvirus 6B. The record is from RNAcentral. Lineage: Duplodnaviria; Heunggongvirae; Peploviricota; Herviviricetes; Herpesvirales; Orthoherpesviridae.